CCUAAAGUAAGAAGUGCGCACACUGCACUGCGCAGCGCACAUCUGGAAAGCUCCGCCCCCAUCACCCAUAUAUAUCUAUGCCCAUCACCGAGUCAUUGACAUAUGCACCGAGCAAAAGACAGAAGUCUUCCCUGCUACUUUGCCGCCUUUGAGUAGCUAGUACUGUCUGCUGUCCGACAAGGAUCCUCGCAAGUUCAAGACGGUGUCGUGUGGACAAAAGGCAGGCUAACCGGACCUGUCCUAUCUGUCGAGCCGAUGCUUCUGAGGUCCAGCGUGAUUCUGAGUGACCUCAUUUCAACACCCAACAUCUGCAAUCCCUGACUCCCUUUUGGAUGUGUCACUACCCGAGAUGCUACAAGCAUGUUCAAUGCAACAUUUGCCGGUGCCCUAUGCCUUUCCCUCGCUGCUCCAGUGACCCUCAGUUCCUGCUUCCCCAUCCGCAACCUCUCUCACCACCCGCCCCACCUCCCCGCACGCAAGAAUACACACACAGAAAUUAAAAUUGACUGAUACUGUUCAACUGCAAUUAUAAUGACUCUAUUAGAAACAACAACUUCUGCUAGCCAAGAUGUCAAUGCUUAAUUAUAACCAGAUGUAAUAACAAUGAAAUAGUCAAAAUCUUUGGACAGCCAAUUUUCCUAAAUGUUUGUUGGUACCACUAUACAGGCGUCUUUUCAAACUCUUUCAUUCUGUCCAGGGCUCAUAAACACACACACACUCACACUCACACACACACACACACACACACACACACACACACACACACACACACACACACACACACACACACACACACACACAUAUUCACAGCCUGCAGAGAGUGGCAACACCUGCUUGUGAAUCGGCGAGGAAUAAAGUGGGGAUAGGGCUGUGAAAGAUGGGACAAAGAAAGGAAAAUCUAUUUAUUCCACCGAGUGUAAAGGCUCCCCCUUUCCUUUCUUUUUUUUACCAUAAUCGUAUAUUAUGCAUCCAUGUUGUUAUGUUGGACACUUUUUGUUGUUGGUACAAUAGCAAUUACCUCAGUCCCACUAUUUAUGUCUUUUCAGAAAAUGGCGCGACCAGUAUGAGUGCUUAUGAAUUAAUUUUGCUAAUCUUUUCCAUGCAAGCUGUUGGGUUGUUUUGAAUAGUUUUCCUUUUAAACUUUAUGAAACUAUCAAUAAAAUGGCAUCAUAGUAGUUUCAUUAUGUAUUAUAUCUGUAACCAAAAUCGUUUGAAGGCCUGUUAUGAUGAUAAUGACAUUUUUAACAAACAUUUGUACAUUUUGUAUGAGAGUUAUUACUAGUAAUACUUUAUUAAGUAGUGCAAUGUUUUUUUUUUUUAAAUCCCUUACCCUGUCUUUUGGAUUUCAAAAGCUGGUUCAAUAAUAAAUGUAUAACAUCUUCUAAAACAUUGUGUU
Long non-coding RNA from Perca flavescens (yellow perch), 1396 nucleotides. RefSeq lists it as uncharacterized. The transcript is spliced from 3 exons. Lineage: Eukaryota; Metazoa; Chordata; Actinopteri; Perciformes; Percidae. The record is from RefSeq and is a predicted model, not a curated record.